RNAcentral lists this unclassified non-coding RNA (2843 nucleotides) under Hevea brasiliensis (rubber tree). Lineage: Eukaryota; Viridiplantae; Streptophyta; Magnoliopsida; Malpighiales; Euphorbiaceae. The record is from RNAcentral.
GAGAGAGAGAGAGAGAGGAAGAGGAGGUAAGAAGUCAGCCGGCCAUGGAAUCCAACAUCGGCAGCCUCAUUUUUAGUGUCCUUGCAAGUGAGGAAGCUUCGUUGAGGGAAGUAUCCCGUCGGAAAAUCGCGGGUAUAGAGAGAAAGAAGAGAACACGAAUCUUCUAAAGCCUUUUCUGGCCAUUUCCAGCGCCCACAAGGACGGGCAAGACUUCCCUUAGCAUCCCUUAGCUCCAGAGAGACUAUGCGACCGGCAGUGCAGCGUGUGAGUUGCCGGAGAAGUAGAUCGAUUUUUGGAUAACUGAAACUUUGAGCCUUCGAUUUGUUCGAUUGGGCGACUUUCUGGGCACGUGGCUGGUAUAGGAGUGACUAGCAGAGUAUUGCGAGUUCGGUGGUGUGAGCAGCUUUGCCGUACGCUGCUGUAGGAGGCGACGCGUGGACGCGCUGAUGAGGGGGACCCGCGACAAUUUGGUCCAGCAGCUUUUUUUGCCUCCUUUUCAGUUUUAUUCAGUCCUUUGAGCUUAGUUCCAUUUGGGAAUUAUGGUUCGUGGAAGAGAUGCGUGUUGGGAGCACUGUGUUCUUGUGGAUGCAACAAGACAGAAGGUGAGAUGUAAUUAUUGUCAUAGGGAAUUCAGUGGAGGUGUUUACCGGAUGAAGUUUCAUUUGGCACAAAUAAAAAACAAAGACAUAAUCCCCUGUGGAGAAGUCCCAGAUGAUGUGCGAGAUCAUAUUCAAAGUAUUCUAAGCAUUCCUAAGAAGCGGAAAACUCCCAAGAAACAAAAGGUGGAUCGAGCCGCCAACGGUCAACAAAAUAGCUCUUCAGCUAGUGGUGGCUUACAUCCUAACCAUGGGUCCAGUGGCCAACAUGGUAGUACCUGCCCAUCUUUGUUAUUUCCACGCCCCUCACCUAGUGCACAACCAGUAGUGGAUGAUGCUCUGAAGCAAAAACAGGAUAAUGCAGAUAAAAAAAUUGCACUGUUUUUCUUACAUAAUUCUAUUGCUUUUAGUGCUGCUAAAUCGAUGUAUUAUCAAGAGAUGUUUGAUGCUGUAGCUGAGUGUGGGGUGGGUUACAAAGCUCCAAGUUAUGAAAAGCUGAGAUCCACCCUAUUGGAAAAAGUGAAAGGUGAUAUACAUGAUUGGUACAAGAAAUAUAGAGAUGAGUGGAAAGAAACAGGUUGCACGGUCUUGUGUGACAGCUGGUCUGAUGGUAGAACCAAAUCAAUUCUUGUAAUUUCAGUUGCAUGCCCCAAAGGAACACUAUAUUUGAAGUCGGUUGAUAUAUCCGGUCAUGAAGAUGAUGCUAAUUACUUGUUUGAAUUGCUUGUCUCGAUUGUCUUAGAAGUUGGUGUGGAAAAUGUUAUACAAGUAAUAACUGAUAAUGCUGCCAGUUAUGUUUAUGCCGGGAGGCUUCUCAUGGCCAAGUACAGCUCCUUGUUUUGGUCACCUUGUGCGUCUUACUGUAUUGAUAAGAUGCUGGAAGAUAUCAGUAAACUAGAGUGGGUGGGAACAGUCUUGGAGGAGGCAAAUACCAUCACUAGGUACAUAUAUGAUCAUUCAUGGACCGUAAAUAUGAUGAGAAAGUUCACAGGUGGAAGGGAUUUGGUCAGGCCUAGAAUCACUAGAUUUGUGAGUAAUUAUCUUUCCUUGAGGGCCAUUGUUAUCCAGGAGGAUAAUUUAAAGCAUAUGUUCUCUCAUUCAGAGUGGUUAUCAUCCAUACAUAGCAGACGUCCAGAUGCUCAAGUCAUUAAAUCUUUGUUGUUUCAAGAUCGGUUUUGGAAGUUUGCACAUGAAGCUGUUAGUGUCUCUGAACCACUUGUUAAAAUUUUAAGGAUUGUUGAUGGAGACAUGCCAGCUAUGGGGUAUAUUUAUGAAGGAAUAGAGAGGGCAAAGGCUGCAAUCAAGGCAUUUUAUAAGGGCAUUGAAGAAAAAUAUAUGCCAAUUUGGGAUAUAAUUGAUCAAAGAUGGAAUAUACAGCUCCACUCGCCUUUGCAUGCUGCAGCAGCAUUCCUUAACCCGUCAAUUUUCUACAACCCAAAUUUUAAAAUUGAUUUACGGAUGAGGAAUGGGUUUCAAGAAGCUAUGAUCAAGAUGGCUACUUCAGAUAAAGAUAAAGUAGAAAUCACCAAAGAGCAUCCAAUGUUCAUAAAUGCUCAAGGUGCUCUUGGUACUGAUUUUGCAAUCAUGGGCAGGACAAUGAAUUCUCCAGGUAUGUGUGAGCUUUUGUGGUUAUUACUAUACAUAAAUGGUUGCGUCUUAACAUGGUUUCUAAGGUGCAUACUGGCUUUACAGUGUAUAUUCACCUUGUGUGUAUGUGCCGUCUCUGAAUUGGCAUUGGAGUCCGCCAAUCUAUUUCACUAGUACAAUACCUACCAAUUACCAAAACAAUAGAGAAUCCUCCUCUGUGUUGGAAUUGGUUGUUGUUGGUCAUUGGUAGAAGAAACAUUAAGGAUGAGAGAAUUUAGAGUAACGUGCUAAACUGGUCAAUUGUACCUACUUUAGAUCUUAGACCUGUCCUUUGGGUGCCAUAUAAGGUUGGCUCCAUAUUUUGUGCUGGAAUAGUCUGGCAUGCAUGUUGGUAGGAAGGUGAUCAAUGGAUACGGAAUAUGGAUGUGUGCUCUCAAGGUCGGAAUUGGCUACUUUUCAAAAUUUUCAUUCAUCUUCACAUUGAUUUAAAGUGUCAGUGUUCUAUUAGUGUCAAAAUAUCCAAUCUGAAACUGAUAUUUUACAAUGAAGUUACAAAUAACUACUAUGGCUUUGAGACAUUGUAACAUUUUAUAUUUUUAAGUGUUUAAAUAAGAAUUACAACUGCGUCUAAUAUGCCAUCACAUUCAUCUUUAGGUGAUU